RNAcentral lists this long non-coding RNA (1492 nucleotides) under Oryzias sinensis (Chinese medaka). RNAcentral describes it as "lncRNA (ENSOSIG00000021301.1)". Lineage: Eukaryota; Metazoa; Chordata; Actinopteri; Beloniformes; Adrianichthyidae. The record is from RNAcentral.
AUGGAAGCUCCUCCCACUGGACAGGUUGUGGUGUGUUUGUUUUUAGCUGAUCAGAGUCAGAGCUGCAAACCUUCCAGGAGUUUCAUCUGCUGUUCUGCCACCAUGGAGGACAUCUACCAGCAUCCCGUUUUCCUGGAGAGUUCCAGACCUCUAGAAGAAGUCAGGAAGACUAAGACAGUCCAGCGCUAUUUCUGCGUCAGGCGCAGAUCUGGCGGAGGAGACUGCGGACCUCUGACCGCCGUGAGCCAAAACAGCUACAGGAUCAACUUCAGACACCAACAAGACCAGCAGGAAGUCCUGAGAAGAUCUCUGCAUGUUGUGGAGCUGGAAGAUGGUCCAGUGGAGAUCAGAGUCAGAAGCAGCUUGGAGCCUCCUGCCUCCUCCAGCUGCACUACCCCACCUUUUCCAGCAGAGGUCAGUGUGGGAGCUUUAUUAAAGUGAUGGAUUUGCAUCUUUUUCUCAACGACCUUUUUACCAUUUACAAAAGAAAAGAUUCAUACCCAUUAUAACCAUUUUAAAUGAGAAAAGUUGUGAGGUUUGAAAAUUUCCCUGAAGUGUCUAAAUCUGAUCUGAAAGUUAGAGAAAAUCUUAUUUAAACUGGAUUACAUGCUCAUUCUCUUCACAGAACUCCGAAGUUGUUCCUGAUGAAGAUCAACAGCCUCGGUCACUGAAAGAAAACCGGUUUUCUGAGGCGGAGCUGGUCUCUGCGCGCUGCGGUUCACCUGAGACUUUAGCUGAUUCUUCUGGUGAAGUUCGUAAUGAGUGGGCCAAAGACUCUGAGGGGUCAGUGACCAGCUGUGAGGAAAGUCCAGACACAAAGGAGGCAGACCGGAGCACAGAGGAGUGUGGGGAGGUCAGCCCAGCAAGUCCUCCAGCACCUGAAGACACAUUUGCUUCGAGUGAAGCAAGCAGGAUCCGACUCUGUGACACUGACACUGAGACAAGCACAGAUGCUGCUGGAGCUGCUGGGGGGCGUGUCCAUGUUCAGAUAGUCCAGGGGAACAUCGAGAUGCAGAAGGUUGGAUAUUGUUUCAUCUAACACGCUCAGUAGACAUUGAUUCCAUGUUUUGUGUGAAAACGUGUGCUUUUCAACUUAAAGGUGCUUGUGCAUUGGUUAUGUAUGAUCUUCAGGUUAAAUGAUAUGACUCAUGUUACACUUUCUUUUUUCAUUCAGAUUUAAAAUUGUCCAAUUUAUUUUUCAAAUAAAAGUUCUUCUGUCAUUAACUGCAGUUUGCAGGCUCAGAACUGAACUAUAUGAACCAACACUUGAACAUCUUCCUCCACGUGUCCCGUUCUCCCCUCAGACAGAUGCUCUGGUGUCUCCCAUGGUCGGCCAUCAUCCUGUGUCUACUCGUCUGGGAAACAUCCUAGAAAACAUAGUUGGCUCUCGUCUGACUGCAGGCUUCAUGGAAGUAGCAGCAGACGAAGGGAUGCCAGGGGACUCUGUGCUGGUAGAGGGACUGACUGGACUUCCUUCUAAAGCUGUGUUCUU